Molecule: ribosomal RNA, 635 nt
Filed under: Scrippsiella sp. CCMP2775
Lineage: Eukaryota; Dinophyceae; Peridiniales; Peridiniaceae
Description: eukaryotic LSU rRNA
Rfam family: Eukaryotic large subunit ribosomal RNA
Source: RNAcentral
GCAUAUAAGUAAGCGGAGUAAAAGAAACUAAAUAGGAUUCCCUCAGUAAUGGCGAAUGAACAGGGAUGAGCUCAGUAUGGAAAUUGGGGCCUGUGGCCUUGAAUUGUAGUCUGGAGAUGUACUACCAACUGGGGCGCAGAUGUAAGCCUCUUGGAAAAGAGCAUCAAUGAGGGUGAGAGUCCCGCUUGGCAUCUGCAGUCCCCAGUGCACGGUGUACCUUCUAAGAGUCACGUUCCUCGGGAUUGGAGCGCAAAUUGGGUGGUAAAUUUCAUCUAAAGCUAAAUAUUGUUUCGAGACCGAUAGCAAACAAGUACCAUGAGGGAAAGGUGAAAAGGACUUUGAAAAGAGAGUUAAAAGUGCCUGAAAUUGCUGAAAGGGAAGCGAAUGGAACCAGCGUAACUUGGUGAGAUUGCUGCGUAUCAAUGUGAUUGCUUGCUGCUUCAACGUAAGUGUGGUAGUAAGUCUUGAGCAGGACAUGCGUGGUGCUUCUUGCCUUGUGUGUCACUACCAGUUCACAGCUGGGGAAAACUUCAGGGACAUGGUAUCCUGUCUCCGGGUGGGUGAACGUGUCUGCUGGAACUCAUUUGUGGACUGCUUGGUGACUAAAUGGUUCCAUCUGACCCGUCUUGAAACAC